AGCAGCCGCGGUAAUUCCAGCUCCAAUAGCGUAUAUUAAAGUUGUUGCAGUUAAAAAGCUCGUAGUUGAAUUUCAGGGGUCAGUAGGUUGGUCGUGCCACUGGUAUGCACUGGUCUCACUGAUUCCUCCUUCCUGAUGAGCCGUAAUGCCAUUAAUUYGGUGUUGCGAGGAAUCUGGACUGUUACUUUGAAAAAAUUAGAGUGUUUAAAGCAAGCUAACGCUUGAAUACAUUAGCAUGGAAUAAUGAAAUAGGACGUUCGGUCUUAUUUUGUUGGUUUCUAAGAUUGACGUAAUGAUUAAUAGGGAUAGUUGGGGGCAUUAGUAUUCAAUUGUCAGAGGUGAAAUUCUUGGAUUUAUUGAAGACUAACUACUGCGAAAGCAUUUGCCAAGGAUGUUUUCAUUAAUCAAGAACGAAAGUUAGGGGAUCGAAGACGAUCAGAUACCGUCGUAGUCUUAACCAUAAACUAUGCCGACUAGGGAUCGGAUGAUGUUAAUUUUUUAAUGACUCA
RNAcentral lists this ribosomal RNA (509 nucleotides) under uncultured Glomus. RNAcentral's name for it is "SSU rRNA". It matches the Rfam family "Eukaryotic small subunit ribosomal RNA", at positions 571 to 1089 of the family's 1831-position model. Lineage: Eukaryota; Fungi; Glomeromycota; Glomeromycetes; Glomerales; Glomeraceae. The record is from RNAcentral.